CAGUAGAAUUUCUUCACACAUUUCUGUUGAAUAAUUUUUUGUCUAAAAGUCCUUAGUGUGUCAGUGACAGGAUGUACAGCGUUGCUCAUAAUUGCCAUCACUUUUGUCUUCAAUAUCACCUCCAUUAUUAAUUCUAGCAGGUGCAGAGUAUGUCAAAGAACCAAGCCUGCCUUCUUAAACAGCUUGUUGAUCCUGUUGUUAAGUGAUGUUACUGGCAGUUCUAGAACAUGUAAAGGAUGUCAUCACACACAUUAAAGGAAUUCAGUUUCUUUAAAAAAUAAAUAAAAUAAAA
This is a long non-coding RNA of Erpetoichthys calabaricus (reedfish), 292 nucleotides long. RefSeq lists it as uncharacterized. The transcript has 2 exons. The record is from RefSeq and is a predicted model, not a curated record. Lineage: Eukaryota; Metazoa; Chordata; Cladistia; Polypteriformes; Polypteridae.